RNAcentral lists this ribosomal RNA (161 nucleotides) under uncultured bacterium. RNAcentral describes it as "partial 16S rRNA". It matches the Rfam family "Bacterial small subunit ribosomal RNA", at positions 355 to 507 of the family's 1533-position model. The record is from RNAcentral.
UGAGGAAUCUUGCGCAAUGGGCGAAAGCCUGACGCAGCAACGCCGCGUGAGUGAUGAAGGCUUUCGGGUCGUAAAGCUCUGUCGAGGGGAAAGAAGUGUAUUGUGGCUAAUAUCCACGAUACUUGACGGUACCCCUAAAGGAAGCACCGGCUAACUCCGUG